CCUACGGGAGGCAGCAGUGAGGAAUAUUGGUCAAUGGGCGAGAGCCUGAACCAGCCAAGUCGCGUGAAUGAUGACGGCUCUACGGGCUGUAAACUCUAUUAGCCAGGGAGCAAUUGGGUCCACGUGUCGGCGUAGCGAGAGCACCCGACGUACAAGCAUCGGCUAACAUCGUGCCAGCAGCCGCGGUAACACGGUGGAUCCGAGCGUUAUCCGGAUUUAUUGGGUUUAAAGGGAGCGUAGAUGGGUUGUUAAGUCAGUUGUGAAAGUUUGCGGCUCAACCGUAAAAUUGCACUGGAUACUGGCAGUCUUGAGUACAGUUGAGGUAGGCGGAAUUCGUGGUGUAGCGGUGAAAUGCUUAGAUAUCACGAAGAACCCCGAUUGCGAAGGCAGCUUACUAAACUGUGACUGACAUUGAUGCUCGAAGGUGUGGGUAUCAAACAGGAUUAGAUACCCCAGUAGUC
RNAcentral lists this ribosomal RNA (461 nucleotides) under uncultured bacterium. RNAcentral describes it as "partial 16S ribosomal RNA". It matches the Rfam family "Bacterial small subunit ribosomal RNA", at positions 338 to 795 of the family's 1533-position model. The record is from RNAcentral.